This 547-nucleotide ribosomal RNA is filed under the name uncultured bacterium. Its description in RNAcentral is "bacterial SSU rRNA". It matches the Rfam family "Bacterial small subunit ribosomal RNA", at positions 778 to 1319 of the family's 1533-position model. The record is from RNAcentral.
AUAGAUACCCGGGUAGUCCACGCCGUAAACGAUGAGUGCUAAGUGUUAGGGGGUUUCCGCCCCUUAGUGCUGCAGCUAACGCAUUAAGCACUCCGCCUGGGGAGUACGGUCGCAAGACUGAAACUCAAAGGAAUUGACGGGGGCCCGCACAAGCGGUGGAGCAUGUGGUUUAAUUCGAAGCAACGCGAAGAACCUUACCAGGUCUUGACAUCCCACUGACCGCUAUGGAGACAUAGUUUUCCCUUCGGGGACAGUGGUGACAGGUGGUGCAUGGUUGUCGUCAGCUCGUGUCGUGAGAUGUUGGGUUAAGUCCCGCAACGAGCGCAACCCUUGAUCUUAGUUGCCAUCAUUUAGUUGGGCACUCUAAGGUGACUGCCGGUGACAAACCGGAGGAAGGUGGGGAUGACGUCAAAUCAUCAUGCCCCUUAUGACCUGGGCUACACACGUGCUACAAUGGACGGUACAAACGGUUGCCAACCCGGCGAGGGGGUAGCUAAUCCGGAUAAAACCCGUUCUCAGUUCGGAUUGUAGGCUGCAACUCGCCUAC